Meleagris gallopavo (turkey) is the source of this 99-nucleotide non-coding RNA. NCBI's taxonomy places the organism in Eukaryota, Metazoa, Chordata, Aves, Galliformes, Phasianidae. The record is from RefSeq and is a predicted model, not a curated record.
CCGCCGCUGUGCAAUUAGAGAUAAUUACACCCUUCCAGCUGUAUUUCAACCCCGAAUUAAUAUUUAAACACUUUCAAGUAUGGCGGUUAAUCACCAACU